UCGCUGCUGCUCCUGCUCUCUGUGCUGGCCUGGGCAACUGGGAUGCUUCAUUUCAAGCAGAGCAGGGUGGAGUUCCAUGCUCUGAAAUUGGCCUGUUCUGGUAGGGGAGCUCCUUUUUCCUGUGGCGUUCGGUUGGAGAAGUUUGGCUAUUGUCUGUCUUUCAGGCUGCCCCUUUCUGAUAAUGUCUAAAGCGUGAAGUUCUACUUGAUGAGGAGCCAUACUCCUACGGCAUUUUCUCAGAAGGAGAAGUCUCAUUUUUGCUCUUGUCAUCCCAGUCUUUGAGUAGCUAAAGUGUGGAACCUAAAUGUCCCUCAGUGGAUGAAUGGAUUAAAGCAAAGAAAAUGGAGGAUAUGUGCGCCAUGGAAUAUGGAGCAAUGCAGCCUUGAAAAAGGCAAUCCUGCUUUCUAAGACAGCAUGGAUGAACCUGAAAUACACUAUGUUAAAAGGAAGAGAGAGACAAAUACCACCUGAUCUCACUUAUAUGGAAAUCUAAAAACGUGGAGGUCAGAAGAGAGAACAGAAUAUUGGUUUCCAGUGCGGGAAAGGAGAGAUGUGGGGAAAAUGUUUCUCAAAGGGCACAAAAUUUCAGUUAGAAAGAAUAAGGGUAGGAGAUCUAUUGUGUUUUUGGAAAUUUCUGAGAGAGUAGAUUGUGCUUUCAUCACCAAAAAGUAUAUGAGGUAGGGGCUGGGGAUUUAGCUCAACGGCACAGCGCCUGCCUGGCAAGCGCAAGGUUGUGAGUUCAAUUCCUGGUAUCAGAAGAAAAAUAGACAAACAAACAAAUAAAAAAACAAAAAACCCCAAAAGUAUAUGAGGUAAUAGGUAUGUUAAUGGGCUCAAUUUAGCCAUUCCACAAUGUGUACAUAUUUCAAAACAAUGUGUUGUACAGGAUAAAUAUGUAUACAUUUUAUUUGUCAAU
Long non-coding RNA from Chinchilla lanigera (long-tailed chinchilla), 916 nucleotides. RefSeq lists it as uncharacterized. The record is from RefSeq and is a predicted model, not a curated record. The transcript is spliced from 3 exons. Lineage: Eukaryota; Metazoa; Chordata; Mammalia; Rodentia; Chinchillidae.